This 612-nucleotide ribosomal RNA is filed under the name Enterococcus faecalis. RNAcentral's name for it is "bacterial SSU rRNA". It matches the Rfam family "Bacterial small subunit ribosomal RNA", at positions 1 to 584 of the family's 1533-position model. Lineage: Bacteria; Bacillati; Bacillota; Bacilli; Lactobacillales; Enterococcaceae. The record is from RNAcentral.
UAUUAUGAGAGUUUGAUCCUGGCUCAGGACGAACGCUGGCGGCGUGCCUAAUACAUGCAAGUCGAACGCUUCUUUCCUCCCGAGUGCUUGCACUCAAUUGGAAAGAGGAGUGGCGGACGGGUGAGUAACACGUGGGUAACCUACCCAUCAGAGGGGGAUAACACUUGGAAACAGGUGCUAAUACCGCAUAACAGUUUAUGCCGCAUGGCAUAAGAGUGAAAGGCGCUUUCGGGUGUCGCUGAUGGAUGGACCCGCGGUGCAUUAGCUAGUUGGUGAGGUAACGGCUCACCAAGGCCACGAUGCAUAGCCGACCUGAGAGGGUGAUCGGCCACACUGGGACUGAGACACGGCCCAGACUCCUACGGGAGGCAGCAGUAGGGAAUCUUCGGCAAUGGACGAAAGUCUGACCGAGCAACGCCGCGUGAGUGAAGAAGGUUUUCGGAUCGUAAAACUCUGUUGUUAGAGAAGAACAAGGACGUUAGUAACUGAACGUCCCCUGACGGUAUCUAACCAGAAAGCCACGGCUAACUACGUGCCAGCAGCCGCGGUAAUACGUAGGUGGCAAGCGUUGUCCGGAUUUAUUGGGCGUAAAGCGAGCGCAGGCGGUUUCUU